GGAUGUGAGGGCGAUCUGGCUGCAACAUGUGACCCCUCUGAUGGCCAGGUUUCAUUCGGCUGAUCCAACCAGCUAGGUGAGUGUCCCCUUCCUCCCUCACCACUCCAUGUGCAUCCCUCCUGAAGCUGUGCACUUGGUCAAAGAGGACAACCAUCCCCAAUUGAGGAGGACCGUUCCUUGGUCAAGGGUAUAAGAGUAGCUGCGCUCCCCUGCUAGAACCUUCAAACAAGCUCUCAAAAAAACAAAAACUAAGGAGCAAAUAACAAAGACUAAAAAUUAUUUACAACAAAUAAAAGAACUAUAUUUU
Molecule: non-coding RNA, 307 nt
Organism: Canis lupus familiaris (dog)
Lineage: Eukaryota; Metazoa; Chordata; Mammalia; Carnivora; Canidae
Source: Rfam